This 1049-nucleotide long non-coding RNA is filed under the name Brassica napus (rape). RNAcentral's name for it is "long non-coding RNA (BNAP_LNC009030)". The record is from RNAcentral. Lineage: Eukaryota; Viridiplantae; Streptophyta; Magnoliopsida; Brassicales; Brassicaceae.
CAUGAGUAAAGGCUUAUGAGUGUAAAAGGUAGCAACAUUGAAGCUAAGCUUACACGGGUCACUAAUUCUUGCAGAAAAAGAUUUGAGGUCAAAUAAUUUUCAAGGAUGAGGGGAUAUUGUAACUAAAAUCAGCAACCAAGGAAAGAAAUAAGAAAGAAAGUCGGAGUUACAUGCAUCAGCCAAAGAUUUGCAAGAGUUUGGAAUGGUCAAAAACGAUCCAAAACUCAAAGAGGAGUAUGAAAGUUGUUUUUACUACACCACCUGAUCGAAAGAAGUAUAAGCUAAGAGUAUAUGCCCACAUGUACAUGAGCAGGGCUUCUGUUGACUCCAACUAGACAGAAGCAAUAUGAAUCAAGCUCAACAAAGAAGAAGAACCGCAUAACUUAGGAAUCAUUUGCAUUGAGAAAAGAUCCAUGAAGUUGUUGAGGCGUGAGGAGGGGUUGUAAUACUCUGUGUUUAAGAUUGGAGGGACUCCUUAUGCGAUGAGGUCUGAAAUAGUGCAUUGGGAGCAGGAUAUGCAUGAUUUUGAUCAUACAAAUGGUUUAGAUUUGAGGAUAGAUCUUUUUAAAAUAGGAGGGGUUUGGUACAACCUAGAUUAGCAUCAACUUGAAAGAUUUGAAGAUUGUGGAAGAACCAUGUACACAAUGGACCAAAGAAAGACGUAAUGGACUGAAAUGGUAUCAAGAAAAUUCUAAGGGCGGAAAGGGGAUCUAAUAAGUUUGAUCCAUGAAGUUUUGGACCGAGAAAAGACUAUGGGCCUUGAUCCGGAUUUCAUCAAACAUGGAUUGACUAUGGACCAGUAUGGGUGAAUAGUGAGAAACUUGCUUUGUAACACCCCAAAUCCGGUCUAAGUCAAAGUUGCCUUGAUUAGCCGUGCAACAAUCAAACAAGAACAUGCACGGCCAACCACUUGAACCCAAUUACCAAACCGAAGAUGCUACAAUUCGUACAAAGACAUUUAAUUCAAGGUUCCAAAGAUGAAGCUUGAAGCCCUAGUUCAAACAUCCAAGCACACAUUUCCUAUCAAACAUAACUCACAAUGAUGGUUU